RNAcentral lists this ribosomal RNA (539 nucleotides) under uncultured bacterium. RNAcentral describes it as "partial 16S ribosomal RNA". It matches the Rfam family "Bacterial small subunit ribosomal RNA", at positions 355 to 885 of the family's 1533-position model. The record is from RNAcentral.
UAGGGAAUCUUCGGCAAUGGGGGCAACCCUGACCGAGCAACGCCGCGUGAGUGAAGAAGGUUUUCGGAUCGUAAAGCUCUGUUGUAAGAGAAGAACGUGUGUGAGAGUGGAAAGUUCACACAGUGACGGUAACUUACCAGAAAGGGACGGCUAACUACGUGCCAGCAGCCGCGGUAAUACGUAGGUCCCGAGCGUUGUCCGGAUUUAUUGGGCGUAAAGCGAGCGCAGGCGGUUUAAUAAGUCUGAAGUUAAAGGCAGUGGCUUAACCAUUGUUCGCUUUGGAAACUGUUAGACUUGAGUGCAGAAGGGGAGAGUGGAAUUCCAUGUGUAGCGGUGAAAUGCGUAGAUAUAUGGAGGAACACCGGUGGCGAAAGCGGCUCUCUGGUCUGUAACUGACGCUGAGGCUCGAAAGCGUGGGGAGCAAACAGGAUUAGAUACCCUGGUAGUCCACGCCGUAAACGAUGAGUGCUAGGUGUUAGGCCCUUUCCGGGGCUUAGUGCCGCAGCUAACGCAUUAAGCACUCCGCCUGGGGAGUACGA